UAAUCAUUCACAAACCCUUUUCUUACCAAACCAUAACCAUGUCGUAAAAUCAUUUACACAAAGUGAGUAUUUUGUCAUACAUGCCACAUUCAAAAUACACAAGCCAUUUUACCAAUUUAGGCCUUCGGAUAGUGUGAACGAGUCUUCGACCUAUCCCGAUUCUCAAGCCGGCUUGUCAACAACUACAAUGAAUGAAAAGGAGGGAGUAAACAUAAAUGCUUAGUAAGUUCACAUGCAAAUAGCAAGUAACAUAAUCAUGCAAUUCCACAUAAAACAUCAUUUGCAUAAACAACAUCAAGACAUUCGUGUUUCGUUUGCAUUUAAUAUCUUUCUACGAUUUCACCAUACCAAGUUCUCAACCCGAGGAUUUAAGCAUAUACCUGUCAAAUUUUCUCAUUCACCACACUUACCAAUAUAUCACCUUCGUUUUAGGCAUUCUUCUCAUUCACUUAAGAUUCACCCGUUGAACACAUCAGAAUAUAAUUCGAAUACGCGGAUUUCAUGAACGUAAGUGCCAUACCCGCAGCUAGACAAACUCAAUAGCCUGCAGAACUUAUGUAGCCAAGCUACCAUGUAACCCGCCCAUAAGUGAACUUGGACUCAACUCAACGUGUAACACCCCCAUGCCCGAAACCGUCACCUGAGUCAAGCUUGAGGUGUUACUAAACUUAUCUUACCUUUUAAACAACUCUAAACCACUUAUUUUAAUUUUCGAAAUAAACUGUUUUUCUGCGUCAUGGUUGCUUAAAAAUUCAUUUCUCGAGUUUCAAAACUCAAAAUUAAGAUCCGUAAAUUUUUCCUGAAACUAGACUCAUAUAUCUAUCUAAUAAAUUUUUUCUAGAAUUUUUGACUUGGCCAAUUAGUACAGUUUAUUAGUUAAAGUUUCCCCUGUUUCAAAACUCGACUGCACUGACCUCUUCUUACUACGAACCAUGUUUCUUCCUGUAAAAAAAAUUCAUAUGACUAAGCCGUUUAAUUCUAUUAAAACUAGAUUCAACAAGGAUUCUAACCAUAUAAAGUACACCUUCUAAUUAGUUUUUUACAAUUUAUGGUGAAUUGCCAAACUUGAAAAAGGGGAUCCAGAAAUCGCUCUGACCCUAUUUCACUAAAACUCAGAUAUCUCAUAAAAUAUAAUACCUUUACCUGUUUUGCUUAUUCCAUAAGAAAAUAUACAUAAUAAGCUUUAAUUUCAUAUAUUAUUCAUCUUCAAACUAUGUUUCUACAAUUUUUAGUGAUUUUUCAAAGUUACGUCAUUUCUAUUACUUGAAUCUGUUUUUAGGUUACUUUCACAUUUUUCAUAAUUUUCAUGUGAUAAUCACCAUUCAAUCAUACAUAUUAAUAAACAUGUAUAUCAUCGACUAUUUUAUUAGCUAAUCACUAGCAAGUAUUAACACAUCAUUCAUUGUUCAUAUUAUACCAAAAGUAGCUAAGUUUCUAUACAUGCCAUACCCAAAACAAAACGUCUAAUUAUACCGAGUUAUUUCUUUGAUAGUGUGAUCGGCUUCCGACGUUUCCUUCGAUCCCCGAGUGACUAGAUA
Molecule: long non-coding RNA, 1538 nt
Filed under: Gossypium barbadense (sea-island cotton)
Lineage: Eukaryota; Viridiplantae; Streptophyta; Magnoliopsida; Malvales; Malvaceae
Description: long non-coding RNA (GBAR_LNC011983)
Source: RNAcentral